Molecule: ribosomal RNA, 292 nt
Filed under: uncultured bacterium
Lineage: Bacteria
Also listed under: 2 other names
Description: partial 16S ribosomal RNA
Source: RNAcentral
GGACUACUAGGGUAUCUAAUCCCGUUUGCUCCCCUGGCUUUCGCGCCUCAGCGUCAGAAGAGGUCCAGCGUGCCGCCUUCGCCACCGGAGUUCCUGAUGAUAUCAACGCAUUUCACCGCUCCACCAUCAGUUCCGCACGCCCCUACCUCGCUCGAGGCCCGCAGUAUCCACGGCAGUUCCCCGGUUGGGCCGGGGGAUUUCACCACAGACUUGCGAGCCCGCCUACGCGCCCUUUAAGCCCAGUGAUUCCGAACAACGUUCGCUCGGUUCGUCUUACCGCGGCUGCUGGCAC